UACGUAGGGUGCAAGCGUUGUCCGGAAUUAUUGGGCGUAAAGAGCGUGUAGGCGGCCCGAUUAGUCCGCUGUGAAAGUCCAGGGCUCAACCCUGGAAUGCCGGUGGAUACUGUCGGGCUAGAGUCCGGAAGGGGCGAGUGGAAUUCCUGGUGUAGCGGUGAAAUGCGCAGAUAUCAGGAGGAACACCGGUGGCGAAGGCGGCUUGCUGGGCCUUACCUGACGCUGAGGAGCGAAAGCGUGGGGAGCGAACAGG
RNAcentral lists this ribosomal RNA (253 nucleotides) under uncultured bacterium. RNAcentral describes it as "partial 16S ribosomal RNA". It matches the Rfam family "Bacterial small subunit ribosomal RNA", at positions 524 to 776 of the family's 1533-position model. The record is from RNAcentral.